This 4359-nucleotide long non-coding RNA is filed under the name Sus scrofa (pig). Its description in RNAcentral is "lncRNA (ENSSSCG00000048257.2)". The record is from RNAcentral. Lineage: Eukaryota; Metazoa; Chordata; Mammalia; Artiodactyla; Suidae.
AAUUCUAUUUUUAGUUUUCUGAGGAACCUCCAUACUGUUUUCCAAAGUAGCUGCACCAAUUUACAUUCCCACCAACAGUUUAAGAAGGUUCCCUUUUCUCCACACUCUCCCCAGCAUUUAUUAUUUUAGACUUUUUAAUGAUGGCCUUUCUGACUGGUGUGAGGCGAUACCUCAUUGCAUUUGCAUUUCUCUAAUAAUUAGCAAUGAUGAGCAUCUUUACAUGUGCCCAUUAGCCAUUUGUAUGUCUUCUUUGGAGAAAUGUCUAGUUAGGUCUUUUGCCCAUUUUUCAAUUGGGUUGUUUGUUUAGUUAUUGAGUUGUCUGAGCUGUUUGUAUAUUUUUGAAAUUAAGCCCUCAUUGGAUGCUUCAUUUGCAAAUAUUUUAUCCUAGUCCAUAAGCUGUCUUUUCAUUUUGUUUAUGGUUUCCUUUGCUGUGUAAAAGCUUAUAAAUUUAAGCCCUUUUUUUUUUUUUUUUUUUUUUUUUGCUUUUAUUCCUAUUGCCUUGGGUGACUGACCUAAGAAGACAUUGGUACGAUUUAUAAUUUGGGGAUUUGAGAAAGAUAAUGCAGUGCAUGUGCUGUAGCCUACAUGAUGUCCUGCAGCAUCAGUGACAGCAUCCUGUCAUCAAACAUCCUAAUAUUUCUGUAGUGAGAGGUGUGUAUUGCAUAAAUAAAGUAGCCUUGCAUCAACUCAAGACAGCUUUCCCUAUCGAACAAGUUUAUUUCAGAUCAAGGUUUUCUGCCAGAAGAGUUAUAAAUAUAGUUUUUGGCCUUUGGAGCUUUUAUGAUUUUGAAAUUGUGGAACUGUAUUCUCCCUGCUUCUUCAGAUGAAGUGAGGCACAGGGAGGUGAAACAACGUACCCACAUUCGUAACUGGUGGGAGAUGGGGCUGCCCUACUAACCUGACAGCCACUUGAUCUCGAACUCGUACCCCCCCCAAAGUCGUGGGACAAGCUGCUGUUAUUCAAGCCCCCAGUCUGUGAUCCCUUGUUUCAGAAUCCCUAGCCAACUAGAAUAACCUCUUUACACAAGUUCUGGGCUCUGGAGAGGAGACCAAUAAAUGUUUAUCUUUAUGAUGGAAGCUUCAGAUUCUUCGUGGAAAAACUAUUAGCCAGUUAGAUGAUCUCUAAGGCCUCUUCCACUUUCCAUUUGUAAUUUUCUGUGAUUAUAACAUAAGGAAAAUUCAGCUCCACUUGUCACUUGUACCAGUGAUCCAGCUCUUCGAGCAUUUCUUGGCUGUUUUAACAUGGGGCCAAUGUAGCAAAAGAAACAAAACAAACCAAGGAACUUCUUUUCCUGUGUUAUGGGUUAUGUCCCUGUACAUUAAAACUGAAACCAUGUGGGCCCUAUUUUGCCUUCUGAUGCUCCUGUUUGUAUGGUCAACUCAGCCGUGAGUUUUUCUGAAUCCCUUUCACUUGGGUCUUCGGGUCUGCUGAGGUUAACCCACUGUUUGGGUGGGGCUACAGAUUUUGCAGAGGAAAGCAAAAAUACUAGAGGUUGUUUUCUGUGGGCUAAGAGUGAAACCCUAUUUAGGCCUGGGAAGUUUGCUUUCUUCAGGUAGAAAUGUGUCCCCACACUGCCAUUUCACUGAGCAGAUAAAAGCAGCUUUAAGAGAGUCUAAAAGGCUGUCAAAUACUCUUUCUGUUUCUAGGAGAAGGCACGGUUAGCCCCAGUGUAGGAAAAAGGUAAAAUGCUGAACAGCUUUCCUCAGGCUUCAGGGAAGGAGGCCCCAUUGUCAAGUGGGUUGGUUCUUGAGGCCUCUGUCUUUAAUUCUACACAUCAAGUCAGAAAGUGAUUUGCUCUAGUUGAGGGGUGGCUCCCAAUUCCCCGUCUGUGGAAACAGGACCUUAAUAGCUGUGGUGUCCAGAGAAAGAACGUUAGGUUUCCUUCCACAGCCCUUUGCAUCAGUUUUCAAGGACGCCUCUCCAACUCCCUGGUGGCUUAGCAGGCUGCCCCCCACUGGCUUCCUAGAAGCCCUUCCUCUGCCAUCUCACCUCCUCGAGGCCAGGGCCCCAUCCCAGAGCCAAGGCUGGCUUUAAAAAUAUGCUGAAGCCUUUUCAUCUCUGCUCCCUGUUCCUAGGACUCUCCCAGGAAUUUCAGGAGAAGUGUGCCUUUUCCUAUCAGAGAUACAGCCUGCUGGAAUUCUGUUGCAAUACAAAAAUGGUUCGGGGUGAGGAGCCUUACUUUGAGGAUCUUAUGGUUGGUGAUUCCAUCCAGUAUCAACAUGGAAGAUUUAAUUAAGAAAGAGCAAGUGCCUAACAGAUGGAGCUGCUCGGAGCAGGAGAGACCACAUCUUGUUCAUUUUUAAAUCCUUGGUGCCUAGCCUAGGCUUGGCACAUAAUAGAUGCUCAAUAAAAUUGUUUGCUGAAUGAAUAGCAUCCUUGUUUUCUUUCUUCCUCAGAAAUGUGUCUGACACGUAUUAACUCCAAGAGUCAUGACCACAGACAAGGUUGGAGAAUGCUUCUGCUUCGUGCUAACUCUCAUGGGUCAUGUCCAAGGAAGAGGUCCUAAAGCCAGGAGGCAGAAGUCCAGGUCCAGGUCCAGGCCGCUAUUCAAGAAACCCUGGGAUCCUCAGCCCCCCUGGGCCUCAGUACCCUCCACUGCAGCACAGAGGUCAUGUUAUCUUCUCUACCCACCUCCCUGGAUGGUUAUGAGAACAUGACGUGACAAUGGAUAUGAAAAUUCUCUGAAAAUUUCAAAGAAUAUGCUGAAGGUAUUAUUUUUUAUUGUUACAGAUUAUUUGUAGAGUUGGGCUGCUCAUAGUCAUUUUUGAGAUCAAUCUCUUUUCUUUUAUAUGUUUAUGCUCUGGUACCAAAGUCGGGUUUCCCUCCUCCCCCAGCUAAAGUAAUAUCCAUCCAGGUAGGCCAGGUACCACCAAGUGCUGACCUCCUUGGAGCUUAUUCAUCUGUUUGGUCAGCAAAUAUUUCUACAGCACAGGUGGUAAGGGACAAGUUAAGUAACAGUCGACUGGCUGACAAAUAGUUGCCAAAGCCACCAAAAGCAGAAACAGUACAGUCUUCUCCCUCAGAGGGCUGUGCUCCUCUAUGGCAUCCUUGAGCUGUCCAGAGAGCCCUCAGCCUGUUCUGCCCAGAGAAGGCCCAGGGAGGAGGUGGCUUGUGGGGAGCCAGGCAGGGCAGCAGGGCCUGGGCAGGACCCCUGCCUCCUAACUUCCAGGAGCUUCCUACACUCCCAGCCUCUCAAGGGAUGGAUGAUUGAAGCCAUGGUAGGUGGUGCUUUGCCUCUUCUUAUCUCCUGUUGCUAAGGUAUCCAAGUGAGCAUGAAACAGAAAUAAGCCUUGUGAUCUGGCUGCCUCCCACCCACGUGGCCAGACAGCCCCCAACUUGGCCAGAGAGGCACCGUCAGGCCAUCGAUCAGCCUGAACCUGUGUUGAGGGUGGGGUGUCAGGGACUCCCCGAGGAGAAAUGACUGAGCUGGGGUGGCAGCUGAUAGUCUCUGAACACUGUUUCUGGGCAAAGAUGUUGAAGCUGGAUUGGGGGACAGAGGUUAAGGAUUGAAAUGACUACAGUAUGCAGCUGUCAGAAUGGGAAUGGCUAGAAUCCUCUGGGGCCCAGGUUCUCCCUGCUUGUCCUUGGUUUACUAAGGGAAUCUACAGAACUUGAGGGAAGGAAGCACAGCCUCUCUCACCCCUUGAAAUCUGCGCCUCUAGCUUCCCUGCUUGCCCUCAAGAUGGGCCCUUCCAAGCUUUCGGACAGGGGCCUUUCUUAAGGAGCAGCACAGUACUGUGGGGAUGAGGGCAAGGUCAUCUGUGAGUGAGGCAGCUCCUCGUGGGCCACAGAGAGGGGAGCUAAUCAGAAGAGAGGAGAGGUGCUGGGCAGACCAACCCAAAGACUGACCCCUGCAAGGUCUCCCUCCAACUUCAAGGCUCAACUCAACAGUGACCUUCCCUGGGAGUUCCCGUUGUGGCUCUGCGGAAACGAAUCCGACGAGGAACCAUGAGGUUGCGGGUUCGAUCCCAGGCCUCACUCAGUGGAUUAAGGAUCCAGCAUUGCCAUGAGCUGUGGUAUAGGUCACAGACACGGCUCAGAUCUGGUGUUGCUAUGGCUGUGGUGUAGGCUGGUAGCUCUGAUUAGACCCCUAGCCUGGGAACCUCCAUAUGCCUGGGGUGCAGCCCUAAAAAUCAAAACAAUAACAAAAACAAAAAACAAUGACCUACCCUAAAAGUCCUUGCAAAUCUACCUGGCCUGGAAAUACCACUUUUCUCCUCUCUACUCAUCCAGUGUUUUCAUCUAUACCUCUCUGUGCACUUAGCACCUGUUUAUUAUGUCCUCACCUUUUGAAUAAUUUUUAUUACACAAAUACUAAUGUAUGUUCAUUGAAGGAAAAAUUACAAACACAGACACCC